AAAAAAUUUUCCAAAGCAUGAGACACGGCAUCUUUCUGAACAUAAGAAUAUUGCCAGAUGUGCAAGAUUUAGUCCUGAUGGGAGGUUUGUUGCCACUGGAAGUGCAGACACAUCAAUUAAGCUCUUUGAGAUUUCAAAAAUCAAGCAAAUGUUGCUUUCAGAUACAAGGGAUGGUCCUGUCAGACCUGUCAUACGGACAUUUUAUGACCACAUACAACCUAUAAAUGAUUUGGACUUCCAUCCUCAAAGUACUAUUCUUAUAUCAGGAGCCAAGGAUCACAC
Molecule: unclassified non-coding RNA, 282 nt
Filed under: Hevea brasiliensis (rubber tree)
Lineage: Eukaryota; Viridiplantae; Streptophyta; Magnoliopsida; Malpighiales; Euphorbiaceae
Source: RNAcentral